AUGUUUUCGUCCCAGUCUCUCAGCCGCGUCAACAACAUCCGUACUGCCUUGAUCAACAUGCAGAAGGGCAACCAAUCGAUGGCCUCCUACUUCACCUCCAUGCGGGGCCUCACCGACGAACUCGCCGCGGCAGGUAAGCCCAUCCAGGACGACAAGCUCAUCUCCUACAUCCUGCAUGGGCUGGACCUAGACUACUAGCCCCUCGUAUCGGCCCUCGACGCCCGUAUCAUGCCUGUCAUCCUCGACGAGAUCUUUGCCAUGCUAAGCAACUCCGAGCAGCGCAUGGCCCAAUUUCAUGGCUCGGCGGUGGUUUUAAAUCCUCCCGAACUCUGCAUCUUGGGGCCGUGGCGGUGGCUCUCGUUCGCGCGGUCCUUCCUGCAACAACAGGAGGUCAGGAGCUAG
RNAcentral lists this ribosomal RNA (402 nucleotides) under Triticum aestivum (bread wheat). RNAcentral's name for it is "partial small subunit ribosomal RNA". Lineage: Eukaryota; Viridiplantae; Streptophyta; Magnoliopsida; Poales; Poaceae. The record is from RNAcentral.